AGUGAACGCUGGCGGUAGGCCUAACACAUGCAAGUCGAACGGCAGCACAGGAGAGCUUGCUCUCUGGGUGGCGAGUGGCGGACGGGUGAGGAAUACAUCGGAAUCUACUCUGUCGUGAGGGAUAACGUAGGGAAACUUACGCUAAUACCGCAUACGACCUACGGGUGAAAGCAGGGGACCUUCGGGCCUUGCGCGAUUGAAUGAGCCGAUGUCGGAUUAGCUAGUUGGCGGGGUAAAGGCCCACCAGGGCGAGGAUCCGUAGCUGGUCUGAGAGGAUGAUCAGCCACACUGGAACUGAGACACGGUCCAGACUCCUACGGGAGGCAGCAGUGGGGAAUAUUGGACAAUGGGCGCAAGCCUGAUCCAGCCAUACCGCGUGGGUGAAGAAGGCCUUCGGGUUGUAAAGCCCUUUUGUUGGGAAAGAAAUCCAGCUGGCUAAUACCCGGUUGGGAUGACGGUACCCAAAGAAUAAGCACCGGCUAACUUCGUGCCAGCCGCCGCAGUAA
Molecule: ribosomal RNA, 506 nt
Filed under: uncultured bacterium
Lineage: Bacteria
Description: partial 16S ribosomal RNA
Rfam family: Bacterial small subunit ribosomal RNA
Source: RNAcentral